This 401-nucleotide ribosomal RNA is filed under the name uncultured bacterium. RNAcentral's name for it is "bacterial SSU rRNA". It matches the Rfam family "Bacterial small subunit ribosomal RNA", at positions 356 to 773 of the family's 1533-position model. The record is from RNAcentral.
GGGGAAUAUUGCGCAAUGGGGGAAACCCUGACGCAGCAACGCCGCGUGAAGGAUGAAGGCCUUCGGGUUGUAAACUUCUUUGAUUGGGGACGAAUAAUGACUGUACCCAAGGAACAAGCCACGGCUAACUACGUGCCAGCAGCCGCGGUAAUACGUAGGUGGCAAGCGUUGUCCGGAAUUACUGGGUGUAAAGGGCGUGUAGGCGGGGAUUUAAGUCAGAUGUGAAAUUCCGGAGCUCAACUCCGGCGCUGCAUCUGAAACUGAAUUUCUUGAGUGCUGGAGAGGAAAGCGGAAUUCCUAGUGUAGCGGUGAAAUGCGUAGAGAUUAGGAGGAACACCAGUGGCGAAGGCGGCUUUCUGGACAGUAACUGACGCUGAGGCGCGAAAGCGUGGGGAGCAAAC